This 487-nucleotide ribosomal RNA is filed under the name uncultured bacterium. Its description in RNAcentral is "bacterial SSU rRNA". It matches the Rfam family "Bacterial small subunit ribosomal RNA", at positions 28 to 526 of the family's 1533-position model. The record is from RNAcentral.
GAUGAACGCUGACAGAAUGCUUAACACAUGCAAGUCAAUGAGGAGAGAAAUUAAUACUUGUAUUAAUAGAAGGAAUCAUGGCGGACGGGUGAGUAACGCGUAAAGAACUUGCCAUAUGGACUGGGAUAACCAGUGGAAACGGGGGCUAAGACUGGAUAUAUUAAUUCGUGGCAUCACGAAUUAAAGAAGCAAUCCAUAUGAGAGCUUUGCGUCCUAUUAGCUAGUUGGUGGGGUAAAAGCCUACCAAGGCGAUGAUAGGUAGCCGGCCUGAGAGGGUGGACGGCCACAAGGGGACUGAGAUACGGCCCUUACUCUUACGGGAGGCAGCAGUGGGGAAUAUUGGACAAUGGAGGAAACUCUGAUCCAGCAAUUCUGUGUGCACGAAGAAGGUUUUCGGAUUGUAAGGUGCUUUAAGUAGGGAAGAAGGAAGUGACGGUACCUACAGAAUAAGCGACGGCUAAAUACGUGCCAGCAGCCGCAGUAAUAC